RNAcentral lists this ribosomal RNA (496 nucleotides) under uncultured bacterium. RNAcentral's name for it is "partial 16S ribosomal RNA". It matches the Rfam family "Bacterial small subunit ribosomal RNA", at positions 29 to 507 of the family's 1533-position model. The record is from RNAcentral.
AUGAACGCUGGCGGCGUGCCUAAUACAUGCAAGUCGAGCGAACAGACGAGGAGCUUGCUCCUCUGACGUUAGCGGCGGACGGGUGAGUAACACGUGGAUAACCUACCUAUAAGACUGGGAUAACUUCGGGAAACCGGAGCUAAUACCGGAUAAUAUAUUGAACCGCAUGGUUCAAUAGUGAAAGACGGUUUUGCUGUCACUUAUAGAUGGAUCCGCGCCGCAUUAGCUAGUUGGUAAGGUAACGGCUUACCAAGGCAACGAUGCGUAGCCGACCUGAGAGGGUGAUCGGCCACACUGGAACUGAGACACGUUCCAGACUCCUACGUGAGGCAGCAGUAGGGAAUCUUCCGCAAUGGGCGAAAGCCUGACGGAGCAACGCCGCGUGAGUGAUGAAGGUCUUCGGAUCGUAAAACUCUGUUAUUAGUGAAGAACAAAUUUGUAAGUAACUAUGCACGUCUUGACGGUACCUAAUCAGAAAGCCACGGCUAACUACGUG